RNAcentral lists this ribosomal RNA (618 nucleotides) under uncultured Acremonium. RNAcentral's name for it is "eukaryotic LSU rRNA". The stretch from base 233 to 386 matches the Rfam family "5.8S ribosomal RNA". The record is from RNAcentral. Lineage: Eukaryota; Fungi; Ascomycota.
UCUUGGUCAUUUAGAGGAAGUAAAAGUCGUAACAAGGUCUCCGUUGGUGAACCAGCGGAGGGAUCAUUACUGAGUUAUCCAACUCCCAAACCCCUGUGAACAUACCUAUGUUGCUUCGGCGGGCCGUCCCGCGGCGCGCCCACGUGGCGUGACCCGGACCCAGGCGCCCGCCGGGGAACCAAACUCUUGUCUUCGAGUGUCUCCUCUGAGUGGCAUAAGCAAAAAUAAACAAAACUUUCAGCAACGGAUCUCUUGGUUCUGGCAUCGAUGAAGAACGCAGCGAAAUGCGAUAAGUAAUGUGAAUUGCAGAAUUCAGUGAAUCAUCGAAUCUUUGAACGCACAUUGCGCCCGCCAGUAUUCUGGCGGGCAUGCCUGUCUGAGCGUCAUUUCAACCCUCAGCCCCCGUUCGCGGGGCGCUGGCGUUGGGGCCCGGCCGUCCUCGCGGCGGCCGUCCCCGAAACACAGUGGCGGUCUCCCGCAGACUCCCCUGCGUAGUAGCACUACCUCGCAGAAGGGACGAGCGGGCUGGCCACGCCGUAAAACACCCCACUUCUCCAGGUUGACCUCAGAUCAGGUAGGAAUACCCGCUGAACUUAAGCAUAUCAAUAAGCGGAGGAA